RNAcentral lists this ribosomal RNA (433 nucleotides) under uncultured bacterium. Its description in RNAcentral is "partial 16S ribosomal RNA". It matches the Rfam family "Bacterial small subunit ribosomal RNA", at positions 29 to 507 of the family's 1533-position model. The record is from RNAcentral.
AACGAACGCUGGCGGCAUGCCUAACACAUGCAAGUCGAACGAGACCUUCGGGUCUAGUGGCGCACGGGUGCGUAACGCGUGGGAACCUGCCCUUAGGUUCGGAAUAACUCCCCGAAAGGGGUGCUAAUACCGGCUAAUGUCUUCGGACCAAAGAUUUAUCGCCUUUGGAUGGGCCGGCGUUGGAUUAGCUAGUUGGUAGGGUAAAAGCCUACCAAGGCUACGAUCCAUAGCUGGGUUGAGAGGAUGAUCAGCGACACUGGGAGUGAGACACGGCCCAGAAUCCUACGGGAGGCAGCAGUGGGGAAUAUUGGACAAUGGGCGAAAGCCUGAACCAGCAAGGCCGCGUGAGUGAUGAAGGCCUUAGGGUUGUAAAGCUCUUUUACCCGGGAUGAUAAUGACAGUACCGGGAGAAUAAGCUCCGGCUAACUCCGUG